CUCCUACGGGAGGCAGCAGUGGGGAAUAUUGCGCAAUGGGCGAAAGCCUGACGCAGCGACGCCGCGUGAGGGAUGAAGGUUCUCGGAUCGUAAACCUCUGUCAGGGGGGAAGAAACCCCCUCGUGUGAAUAAUGCGAGGGCUUGACGGUACCCCCAAAGGAAGCACCGGCUAACUCCGUGCCAGCAGCCGCGGUAAUACGGAGGGUGCAAGCGUUAAUCGGAAUCACUGGGCGUAAAGCGCACGUAGGCGGCUUGGUAAGUCAGGGAUGAAAUCCCACAGCCCAACUGUGGAACUGCCUUUGAUACUGCCAGGCUUGAGUACCGGAGAGGGUGGCGGAAUUCCAGGUGUAGGAGUGAAAUCCGUAGAUAUCUGGAGGAACACCGGUGGCGAAGGCGGCCACCUGGACGGUAACUGACGCUGAGGUGCGAAAGCGUGGGUAGCAAACAGGAUUAGAUACCCUGGUAGUCCACGCUGUAAACGAUGGGUGCUGGGUGCUGGGAUGUAUGUCUCGGUGCCGUAGCUAACGCGAUAAG
Molecule: ribosomal RNA, 534 nt
Filed under: uncultured bacterium
Lineage: Bacteria
Description: bacterial SSU rRNA
Rfam family: Bacterial small subunit ribosomal RNA
Source: RNAcentral